This 465-nucleotide ribosomal RNA is filed under the name Vreelandella stevensii. Its description in RNAcentral is "partial 16S ribosomal RNA". It matches the Rfam family "Bacterial small subunit ribosomal RNA", at positions 338 to 795 of the family's 1533-position model. The record is from RNAcentral. Lineage: Bacteria; Pseudomonadati; Pseudomonadota; Gammaproteobacteria; Oceanospirillales; Halomonadaceae.
CCUACGGGGGGCUGCAGUGGGGAAUAUUGGACAAUGGGGGGAACCCUGAUCCAGCCAUGCCGCGUGUGUGAAGAAGGCCCUCGGGUUGUAAAGCACUUUCAGUGAGGAAGAACGCCUGGUGGUUAAUACCCAUCAGGAAAGACAUCACUCACAGAAGAAGCACCGGCUAACUCCGUGCCAGCAGCCGCGGUAAUACGGAGGGUGCGAGCGUUAAUCGGAAUUACUGGGCGUAAAGCACGCGUAGGUGGCUUGAUAAGCCGGUUGUGAAAGCCCCGGGCUCAACCUGGGAACGGCAUCCGGAACUGUCAAGCUAGAGUGCAGGAGAGGAAGGUAGAACUCCCGGUGUAGCGGUGAAAUGCGUAGAGAUCGGGAGGAAUACCAGUGGCGAAGGCGGCCUUCUGGACUGACACUGACACUGAGGUGCGAAAGCGUGGGUAGCAAACAGGAUUAGAUACCCGGGUAGUC